GAUGUGAAACGGAGCGGUUAAGGGCUAAAAUUGAGGCCUUGAACAUCGAGGUGACAAGAUUGGUAGAGGAUUUAGUCAAUAUUGGUCAAGUACAAGUAUCGGCGUUGCCAGUUCCUGAAGUUCCAGAAGAGAGGAGUCACUUUCAGCGCUAGUUGGAAUUGAGAGAUGCCCAGAUCCCGAAAUUGGAAGCUCAAGUCCGUGAACUGGGCGAUUACAAUAAAGACCUUUUAGCUCAGUUGAGGCAGGAGCCGAUGGAAUGAUUGGAGGAAGACAAAGAUUUACAGUUGGAACCGGAAUCUGUGGAACUAAUAACAGAUACUGUGGCAAUUGAUUAAUUAGAUAGGCUAGAGGGAUUGUAAUUUUUGUAGAGUUUUGUUAGAUAAUUUUUAGAUAGGUAUCAAUUGAGUGUUUGCAAAGAUGCUGCACAAGUAGGAGUGGGGCUAUGUAGAAUAAGUAAUUAUUUUGAGAAUGUAGAUACCUAGUGUAUAGUGUAAACAAGGAUAGAUAACUGUUGAAAAGGUGGUUCAGCAUGUAGAAUGGAUGAAUAGUCAAGAAAAGUAGUUAUCAUUUGUAGCAUAGGAGUUGGUAUCUUGGAGUAGUAUAAGGAGGUAGGGAGAGGGGAAGAAAAUGCCAGACUGUGAGAGUUGUAAGCUGAGGGCCAGACUGCGAUAGUAUUGAGCUGGAAAUAAGCUUGGUGCUAUCUCUUCUUCUUAGUUUUCUUGUUUCUUUUGUAUUAGUGUUGAUUCUAGUGAACAGAAUUGAUUUAAUGAAUUAAUAUUUGAUUUACGAAGUUAUUUAUGGAUCACUGUUUAUCAAUUGUUGUGAAAGAUUGAAGACGUAUAGAAGUUUCCAAUCACUGUUUAUUGCAAGGUUGUAAGUUUAGUGGAGAAGAAUUGUAAUCGAAGGAAUUUUCUUGAUUAGAUUCUGUAGAUUGAAAGUUAUUCGUUCUAGGGUUUGAAAUAUGCUUGUGUGUUUGUGAAUUAUACAGAGUACUGAAAUCGUUGUCGUGGAUGUUAUUGUAUUGAUAUGAGAGAGUGGACAAUAAGAGAAAAAGUUAAGUGUUCUUCGAUAUGGUAAGCAUUCAGCAAUAGCAGUUAAUUGCGUGAUCCUAAUAAUUGGAGCUCAUAUACAUGGUCAUUCCCCGUGUUCGAAUCUCCCUAUAUGGAUUUAUUUUGGGAGGUUUCUUUUGGAAUAAGUAAAACGAGAAAUCACAAUGAUUAAGAAUGAAAACAUUGCAGUAAAGAAAACACACCAAUCGAAAGAAAGACAAGAAAGAGCGCAAGUAAGAAAAUCGUUGCAAAAUGAGCAAGAAUGCAAGUUAAAAAAGAA
Molecule: long non-coding RNA, 1329 nt
Filed under: Physcomitrium patens
Lineage: Eukaryota; Viridiplantae; Streptophyta; Bryopsida; Funariales; Funariaceae
Description: long non-coding RNA (PPAT_LNC008721)
Source: RNAcentral